GCAAGAAGGGGAGCGUCCAUUUACGAUUGAGCAGGCGCAAUGGUGGGAGCGGAUCCGAACUCCCUCUUCGGGCACUGCCCCGGACGAGUUGGGUGGAGAAGCCAGAGCACGCGGCGCCGGGGGCAGGGCAGCGCUCGCGGCAGUUCGGCGCCGGGUGCUUCGGGGGCAUCGAGCUCGCUUUCCGUCGGGCGGCCGACGUGACCCGAGUUACGAGGGCUUGUGAGCCGCGGGCGAAGAACCCCUGCGAGGUGGUCCGGGUGCAGUAUGAUCCCCGCAACUGCAAGUACCUAGGAGCUCUUUGAUGUUUUCCGUGCGCGCUAUAAUCCUAUUAUCCUCAAUCGCCAGGUUAUUCGUGCGUGAUCAUUGAGUCAAUUUUCUUAGGGUCCAAUAACCAUUGUACAAAAGGUAAGUGCGAGUUAUUAUCUAUUUGAUAUCAAAAUUUCCAUUUUUUUUCCUGGAUUAAGGUAAUUAGGAAUUUUAGAAUGCGUUUCAACUGCAAGAAAUAUGUUUUGGAACUUCGAUUUUAGGAUGUUUACUUAUUCCUAUUCUUCGCGUGCUGCAUCCACAAGAUCUAAUCUCAAUUUCUUAAUACGUUGCUUUCAAAGAUUAAAGAGCUUUUUGCAUCAUUUCAGUAGUUUUUAAGCUUUCCGACAGUUCAUACAGAGAUGUAUCUUACUUGUUCUAUUCGUUCUGGUGCUGUAUCUUUAAUGCUGAUCUCAUCUUCUACAUAUUACAUCAUUGAUAUGUGCUCAAGUCCAAUUGGCUUUUGGGUUAAUUAACUGAAAACAAAUUGACCCAAUGAUGAAUUAGGAACCACUUACUUGCAAAAGCUUAAGCUGAUAGGAAAGAGUCCAACUCAUAUGUGAGCUCUGACAUCCUUCCUCAUGUGCAAGCUAGAUGGACUUAUGGGCUGGAAACCUGGAUGCUAGUGCAAACCUAAUCUGCAAGCUAAGGCCAACGGGCUCUGACCCAUCUGUUGGUGAAUAUUGUAUCAAACAUUAAAGGAAAAAAUAAAACAGUUAGCAUUCGAACUCUCUGCUCCAAUACAAGGCAAGAAAAUGACUUUGGUAACCUUUUCCCAAAAAUUAAGUUGAUAGGAACAAGGCCAAUUUAUAUACAAGCAAUGACAAGAUUCAUGUCACUUUGUUGGUUUUUAAAUUUAAUCAACUAGCAAAUAUCUAAAUUUAAGCAUCUACAUAGAUAUAGAGAAUCAACAAUAGAACCUGAGAAGUAAAGAAGAGUAGUAGAGAGAAGAUGGAAAAGUUGAACCCUGUAUCCAGCCAGUAAACAUUCUUUACUACUGAAAGGACUCUGGGGAACUGCUUUCAGUGGUGAAACAUUGGAUUAUGAAUUUUUUAGUGUACUGUCCUAUUACCAUUGUGACUUUGAAAAGGAAACAAGGUCUGAUAAUUAGCUUCUUAUGACUUUUUUGAAAGAUAAUGGCUAAUCAAUUAUUUCUUUAGUGGUUCAACAGAAAUUAUUUGAUUUAAUUACUAGUAAUCUUUCUGAAUAUUUUUUAGGUAGAUAAUACCAGCAAAUAUUUUUCUUGAUUUACAUAAACUUGACCUUUUCCCUUGUGCUCUAGUUUGUGUUUCUCUAUGACUCCUAAAGAAACCACUAGAUUAAUGGAAAAUUUUGGUUAAAGCUUUGUAUACCAAUUUUAAAUUACUAUGAGGUAAACCUUGACCUAACCUAAUGGAAGUUUAGCCUGCAUCACACUCAAAGUGACACAAGGGCCAAAUUUGUAUUUCCUACCAGAGAAUUUUCUCAACCUUAUCGAGUAAAGCAGAGUAGGAAAACCUUUUGGCCUCUCCAUGGCCAGCCUUUCAGGAGAUUGGCAUGUAGCAUGUAGGUGUUUUGAGGAAGGGUUCUUUGUUAAGGAAGAUCGAGAUUUCUUACAAGCAAACGUCAUCGUUAUCUGUUUCUUUCUGAAGAGAAUCUUUGAAAUCACUGAGAUGAUAUAAGAUAGUGGUUUAGUAAUUCAAGACUGUAGUUUAUUAAGGAUGAUAUGUUGCUUACUUUGAUCAGUGAUACAGUUAAAUAAAUGUAACCAUAUAUUAUUAAGUUAGCUUCUGGUGAAUAAUAGAUAGCGGUAGUAGAGUAGGAGUUUAGGUUCAUGCCUGUGAAACAACUCAUGGAUUACAUUGCAAAUUCUGGCAGCCCAUAUUAAUAACUUUACUUUCAACACAUUGACAAUCUGACAUUUGAAUCUGCAUGCAGGAAAACAAAGUUGUUACGAUCUUGAAUACACUUCUACACGUGAGAACAGGGAAAAGCCCCUAUGUAAUAUUUAGAAAGUAACCAGAAGGUCAUGAACAGGAAUAUCAUGAAAGUAAGUCUUUCUGCAAGAAACAAAAUUUAGAAGUAUCAUCAGGAUUCAGGAGUAUGUUGAGAACAAUGGAUCCUUUGGUUAUAAACAGUCUGCAGCUAGAGGCUGCAAUGAACCUAUUGGCUGUGAUGGCUGAGAUGAACUACUAGUCCAUGAAAAUCUGCAAAAACUCGUGCUUUCCUGUCGAUAACCUGUACAAAGAUUUACAGUUCAGGGAUUCAAGUAUUUUCUUGACAAUCCUGACUGUGACAUAUGUAGCUUCUGAUAAUACACAUUCUGCCCCAUUGAUGCAAUACUUCUGGUUUUAUAUCUCUCCUUAUAGUAGGAGUUUGCAGCUCAGCUGCUCCAAAUUAGACAGAUGUCUCAUUACAUCUGAUAUUUUGGCUAUUAUAUAUCUCCUAGUACUUUAUUCUUCAUGUGUCAGGAGUCCCCCAAAUUGACAACGUAAUGGACCUUGGCAUAUAGCAAACUAUCAUGUUCUUGAUUCUCUUGUUUAACAUGUUAACAGGUACUUCUCAGGUGCUCCUGAGAUUUCCUCAAAGUUUAUGCUGUCAUGAAGACAUCAUUACGAGUAAGCAUGCCUUUGUUUACUGGUAACUUUUAACGCAUGGGCCUUGCUUUUCUUUCAGCAUCUUCAUGGCAUCUAGCUACCUAUUAGCCUUUCAUAUAUGUCAUCUUGUAAAAUAUAAUAACCAAAGAUUAUUCUUAGAUGAGCUAGCAUUGAAAUGAUAUUCUGGGUUCUGUUUGGCUAUGAUGGUGUAUUGUGCUAAAGCAUUUGACUUCAGACUAGCUAUAUGGAAUUGUGUUUGGAGAAAAUUCUGGUAGUUGCUCGGCAGUCAAAUUUAGCAAAUAAUGAAAAGAAAGAAAAUAAAUGGUUUGCAUGUCACAUGGUCUAAUAAUUUGAAGCUGAAUGGGACUCAGUAGAUUGCAACAUUGAAACCUAUGUAGUUAUGGUCUUGGGUCAAAUGAAUGACAUCUUUCUUUUAGUCUGCUGCUUAAGUUAUUUCACCAAUGGAGUUACAUCACUAUCAUGCUCACCAAAGCCUGUUUAAAUCUGGACCACUGCAACAACAAAUUGAAAUAUUUAUAGUAUUUGGGAUUGACUAGAUGAAUCUUCCAGCUAGUGAGUUCUACAUAGAUGAGUAUCUUACAGGCAAAUCAAAAGCUUUGAAGUUUCUUUUUCUUAUGUGUUCAUAGUUUGGAUUCAGACCUGCAUAAAAGCAUCAAAUUUGACAGUAUUCUCAGGAAGAACAAAUCGUGGAGGUCUUCCUACCCCACAAUCUCAUGCAUGCCAACCAAGAAAGUUGGUAGCCAAUGAUUACCCACCUACCAGUGAAUUCCAUGAUUGGCCUAAGGUGAAGCUUUGCUUUCAAUCUCUGCUGUUGGGUUAGCUUUUUGGCUGGGGAGCGUUAGUGUGGUCCAUAAAAGAGGAGUGAGCUCCCGCAGCCAGAGUGCAUGACGGGGACGGAUGUCGACGUCCUUCGCAACCAACCAGUGGCCACAGGCGCUCCGGCAGCCACGAACUGCCCCUCUCAUAACCGCUCUCGCAGGCGCUACGCCGCGUUGGGGGACGCUGCCUCUGGUGAGGGCAACUGCUGGCCAAGCAGCGAAGGCCCGCGCGGGGCCUGCUGCCAGCCGGGCGAGGAUGGUUCUGUGUUGCUGCCAACGGUUGCUCUCCGUGGCGUCGUUAAUGGGGAUGGAACAGAGGGGAAGAAGAAUAAGAAUAAGCAGGUGGAAGGAAGACGAGUGAGGACGAGAAAAAAAAAUGUGAGAAGGUGAGAAAGGAAAAUGGAUCCAUUAAUCGGUAUCGGUCAUUUGGAUAAUUAUAUAAAAUAUAGGCUAUUUAUCGAAAAAAUAAGUACGUUUCGUGUUUUUUAGGUUAUUUAAAUAUCAAAAGAUACCCUCGACAUUAAUUUUUCA
Molecule: long non-coding RNA, 4249 nt
Organism: Musa acuminata AAA Group (dessert banana)
Lineage: Eukaryota; Viridiplantae; Streptophyta; Magnoliopsida; Zingiberales; Musaceae
Exons: 3
Source: RefSeq, a predicted model, not a curated record